CGACUACCUGACGCCCUCCCCCUCCUCCUUUAUCCGGGCUUGGGACUGGCAAUGUAAGAUAAACUUACACGGCGGAGUUAACAUCAGCUAUAUCCAUAGAAAACAAAUCAUCCAUCGUGUCCUUAUUUGUUAUGCUACUUUUUUUACAGUUUCAUAGAAAACAAAUUGAUCGCUUUCACUUUUGGAAGCAACUAAACUCUUUUACCAAAUCAAAAUCUCUUUUUCAAGUUUUAAUAUUUCACUUUAGUUUUUUGUUUUUGCCUUAUUGAAUGGGUAGUAUUGUUAUUUUGGAGACAUGCUACAUGAAUGCAUUUAUAUAUUGUUGUACUAACAAAAUAUAAAUUUUCAAUUUCAGAUAGGAAUGAGUAUAGCGGGAGCCUUGUGCACUGGGUACGACCUUUAGAUAGGAAUGAGUAUAUUUCCAUUCCAAAGUUUGGGUCCAUUUGAAGCUAGCAAAAAAAAUUAAGUUUGUGGAGCAAAAAAUUAGAUAUUUUCAAAUCUGAUUUUCAGUUUUCUCAUUUGCACUGCAUAUUGGUUGAUGCAUUGAUAAGAAAAAUAUCUACUUACACUUUUCAAAUGUAAAUAUUAGUUAACUAAUUUUUUAGUUUAACGGCUGUUUGUUUGGAUGCAUAAAAAUCUUUUUUUUUUUCAAAUGUCCUUUUGAAUGGAUAAUCAAAUCGAUAUAGAUUUUGUUUUUAUCCUUUGCUUUAUCUGUUUAUCUUACUUAUUUGAGCUAAACGCAAAUCCCAAUAUUACAUAGUUAAGCCUGAAAUUAGAACACAAUUUCUUUACAUGAAACUGAAGUUUUCUCUAAUUGAGAACUUUCUUUUUGUUCAAAUUGUGUUACAAAUUUUGUGUUUUUUUUUCUUUUAACAGGUGGACUUAAAAGAGAUCAAGUAUGCAGGGGAUUGGUAGGGGAUUGGUAGGAUCAACAUAUAAGAGGUAGAGGUCAACUCUUUCUCUGAUGUUAACUUCUACUAUGAUCUUUUUGUUAUUAAAUUUUGGUGGAAAACAUUGUUUAGUAUAAACCUUAUCACAAUACAAUAGGAAGAUGGAUUAGAAAUAGAGAGAUAUUAAUUUGAUUUUCUGUUUACUUUAGCGAUUCUGGAUAAUGAUCAUGAAUGUUGGUAAUAUUGCAUCUCUGUUUUUUUUUUUUUUCUUUUACACCACGAUUAUGCAUAUUGUUUGUUUCAAGCAUGUUAUUGUGAUAGCUAAAUGAUUCAUAUUGCAGAACAUGCUUAAAAAAUUAUAGCUUUAACUGAUCACUCAUCUUUAAUCUCUCUCCCUCCCUCCCUCUCACUAUUGCAGUAACUCCCGUUGUAUUCCAUUUGCUUUUGUUGUUGCCGGUCUGCAAGUAAAUCUUUAAUUUCCAUACAAAGUUUGCAUUUUUCUAUUCCUGACACAAUUAUUUCAUACUAAGUUUUUUUUUCAAGUUGGUGUGUGAGUGCAUUUUCCACUGAUCUUUUUGUUGAACUCUCACUAAGUUCCGAUUUUGAUCACAAUAUUCUUUGAAUUUUCUCCUCUGUCCUAUGUUCCACUUAUUUCAACUUCCAAUUUCUCCACAUUAAAUCUUCAUGGUUUAAGGGCAUUGUUCUAAUAUUAUAUUAUUUUAUUUAUUUUAACAAAAUUGUAGACCGUAUACUUCUACCAAAAUAAGAGAAAAAAAUGUGUGAUUGUCUGCAAAGCACUUACCAAAGACAGAAAUAUAAUAUGUAAGUAAAUCUUUUGUAUGUUUACAUUUUAAAUUUUCCAGAUUGGGUAAUGAAUAUGAUUAAAUUUAUUCCAGCAGCUUCUAUCAUGCAAAUAUGAUUGAUAAACUUGACGUUUAUCGCAUUAACUUUCUCUGCAAUGCAUGACAUGUUUUUGGUUUUCUAGCUACUGAGUAUGGAACGCCAAAGAACCCACUUAAUUAGGUAACUCCACAUAUUUUGAGAGAUUUUUUUUUUUUAAAUUUAUUUUUGGUUAGUUGUAUAUUUCGAUUUUGCUUCUCUUGAGGUAAAAAUGAGAUUAUCGACUCUCGCUAAAUAACUGUCUUUCGAUUUGUUUUCAUUUUAUGUGUUCCUUCAAUAAACAGCUACAUAUCAACAUCAACAACAUCAACGGUGUGUUGCCAAUUCAAUUUGCAAGGAAGCUUUUGAAAAUGCUCAGGGAGAACAAGAGGUCAGAAAUUUCGUGUGGAUUUUAUACUUUGGAAAACGUUCUACUCCUGUGCAUAUUUGAUUUUUAUGAGGUCAAAUAGGUUAUGUAUUAGUUGUGUGUGUUGACGUAGGGAUGUUGGGUUGUUUGAGUUGAUCCUAGCUGAUUUUGAUAUUACUGAUUCGUCAGGGCAAUUAAGUUGAUUGAAUUCGAUUUUGAAGCUUGGGAAGAGAAUUGGUUCUCAAAGUUUGAUUUUCAUGUGUUUGGUUUUUGGUUUAAUCAAUUCUUUGCUGAAAAGUUGUAUUCCGUUGAGCUACGAUUUUUUGUACGUUGGCUUUAUCCAUUUAAUCUUUGGUACAUGAACAUCUUUCUAACAUUUUCAAUGUAAAUAUUAUUAAUCUUCUAUCACAAUGAGCAAUCUUUUAUAUCUUUCAAACAUAAUCUUUCUCCCGCAACAACGCGCGGGUAGCAUUUUCUAGUUAU
This 2619-nucleotide long non-coding RNA is filed under the name Malus domestica (apple). RNAcentral's name for it is "long non-coding RNA (MDOM_LNC007223)". Lineage: Eukaryota; Viridiplantae; Streptophyta; Magnoliopsida; Rosales; Rosaceae. The record is from RNAcentral.